This is a long non-coding RNA of Cloeon dipterum, 405 nucleotides long. RefSeq lists it as uncharacterized. The record is from RefSeq and is a predicted model, not a curated record. The transcript is spliced from 3 exons. Lineage: Eukaryota; Metazoa; Arthropoda; Insecta; Ephemeroptera; Baetidae.
AAAAAUGCUAUGAAAGAAGCGAAUAUUCCUCUAACCCCUGCUGAAAUGCUGGCCAGAUAUUGCGAUUCAAUUCUGCGCGAAAAGGACAUGCCUGAUAAUAUUAAAGUUUAUCAAGAAUUGAGCUACUCGUUCAAGACUGUUUUCCCAUACAUCUACGAAAGUGAUGUGUUCGAAAAGUUUUAUGCGCAACUGAUGUCUAGUCGGCUGAUCCAAAAUUCGGUUCAGUCGACUGAACCUGAAGAAGAGAUGGUUAAAUUACUGCAGCAAGAAUGUGGUUUCGAGUAUGCAAAAAAACUGACAACAAUGCUGACGGACAACAAACUGUCAUCAGAUCUCACAAAUGAAUUCACGCAGACAAACGUUAUUGGUAUUAAAUUUACGAUCAAAGUAUCAACGGUAAUUUUU